AUAAAUAACCCCAAACACACAAACUACUCCUAUAAACAAACCAUUUUUCCCCCUUAGUAUGGGCGACAGAAAAGGAACUAUUGGAGCGAUAGAGAAAGUACCGCAAGGGAACGCUGAAAGAGAAGUGAAAUAACCCAGUAAAGCCUAAAAAAGCAGAGAUUCUACCUCGUACCUUUUGCAUCAUGAUUUAGCCAGUAAUACCCAAGCAAAGAGAACUUUAGUUUGGGCCCCCGAAACUAGGUGAGCUACUCCAAGACAGCCUAUUAAUAGGGCAAACCCGUCUCUGUGGCAAAAGAGUGGGAAGAGCUUUGAGUAGAGGUGACAGACCUACCGAACCUAGUUAUAGCUGGUUGCCUGAGAAUUGGAUAGGAGUUCAGCCUCCAGACUUCUCCAUUCGCCAUGGUCUUACCCCUACCGAUACCCUAAAGAAGUCUAGAGAGUUAAUCAAAGGGGGUACAGCCCCUUUGAGACAAGAUACAACUUUCCCAGGAGGGUAAAGAUCAUAUUUACCCAAGGUAAUAAUGCCCAGGUGG
This 533-nucleotide ribosomal RNA is filed under the name Auxis thazard (frigate tuna). Its description in RNAcentral is "partial 16S rRNA". It matches the Rfam family "Bacterial large subunit ribosomal RNA", at positions 202 to 1081 of the family's 2925-position model. Lineage: Eukaryota; Metazoa; Chordata; Actinopteri; Scombriformes; Scombridae. The record is from RNAcentral.